This 460-nucleotide ribosomal RNA is filed under the name uncultured bacterium. RNAcentral describes it as "partial 16S ribosomal RNA". It matches the Rfam family "Bacterial small subunit ribosomal RNA", at positions 338 to 795 of the family's 1533-position model. The record is from RNAcentral.
CCUACGGGUGGCAGCAGUGAGGAAUAUUGGUCAAUGGGCGGAAGUCUGAACCAGCCAAGUAGCGUGCAGGAUGACGGCCCUACGGGUUGUAAACUGCUUUUAUACGGGAAUAACGCGCCUUACGUGUAGGGUUUUGCAUGUACCGUAUGAAUAAGGACCGGCUAAUUCCGUGCCAGCAGCCGCGGUAAUACGGAAGGUCCGGGCGUUAUCCGGAUUUAUUGGGUUUAAAGGGAGCGUAGGCCGCAUGUCAAGCGUGCUGUGAAAUGUCCGGGCUCAACCCGGGCCUUGCAGCGCGAACUGGCGUGCUUGAGUCCGCGGAAGGCAGGCAGAAUUCGUCGUGUAGCGGUGAAAUGCUUAGAUAUGACGAAGAACCCCGAUGGCGAAGGCAGCUUGCUGCAGCGGAACUGACGCUGAUGCUCGAAAGCGCGGGUAUCGAACAGGAUUAGAUACCCCGGUAGUC